GUAAGGCUUUGCCAUCCUGACCGGAGUGGAGCCCCAUUCAAGGAGGACUUUUUUCUGAAGUGACAUAGCAUCGGAUCCGACUGGCUCUGAGCUCCUGCGAGGGGACGGUCGCGCUCUUAGGGUGGGCCUGAGAGCGCAACUCUCGAACUGAGGCUGCGAAACCAAACUGAUGAUGUCAGUACAGCCUCUCGCUUCUCUCUUGCUAAGUCUGCUACCACCGACAGUCGGCCGGUUCCAAAAUAAAUCUGCUCGGGAAAAUAGGAGAGCCGCCCCUUCUAAUCCCUUGGGGUUAUACUAGCAGCUCCUCCUCGGGGUUCCCCGGCGAGGCGAGGCGUUCCCCAGGCUGGUCAGGCUCGAGAAGCAGCUCAAGAGAACUCGACUCAAAGUCUCGGGCAAGCAGAGGAGGAACCGGUGAGCUCCUGGGAGGCCCCGUCGGACGAGCGGCCGUCAGCUUCCUUCUUGCCUAGAAAAGCAACAGCAGCCUGGCGCCGACCGACCUCCAGGCAGCAGAUCCACUCCGAGGGACGCCCGGACAGCGGCGGCUCCUCUCUGGAGGGCAACCAGGGCAACAAGAUGCCCUUCUGGAAGCGCACGGUGGAACCUCGCCGGCUGCUCCCCUCCGCUGCCGUCGCCCCUCGUUUGGCUGCUCUGCCGCUGGCCCAGCUCCACGACGUGUGCGGCCUGGCGACGCUGGCGCUGCUCCGGCAGCUGGCCGAUCUCUGCGGACACUCAGCGGCGUUGCUCGCGGACCUAGAGGGUCGCUUGCUGGAGCUGGCCCGCCGCGCACACCGGCUUCGAAGCCGCCUCUGCAGAGUCCACGGGCUCAUGCGCCCCGGGGCGUCUCGAGAGGCAGAAGAUACCUCCAAUCAGCCGACAGCUGAAACAAUAAAACUUGGGACACAUGAAACAACCUAUUCUGUUUAAAAUAAAACAACAUCAAACAAAACAUCCAUAAGCCAACUUUAUAAAAACACCAAUCUUCCUUUUUGAAGAAGAUGUAUUUGUUUGCAUGAGAAAAAUGAACCAAAAUGAGACUGCUGGAUCUGUUUGAGAAGGGCAUUCCAGAUGUGAAGAACUUUUGCUGUGGGCAAAGCCAGGCACG
Molecule: long non-coding RNA, 1102 nt
Filed under: Podarcis muralis (Common wall lizard)
Lineage: Eukaryota; Metazoa; Chordata; Lepidosauria; Squamata; Lacertidae
Description: lncRNA (ENSPMRG00000020622.1)
Source: RNAcentral